This 1149-nucleotide unclassified non-coding RNA is filed under the name Hevea brasiliensis (rubber tree). Lineage: Eukaryota; Viridiplantae; Streptophyta; Magnoliopsida; Malpighiales; Euphorbiaceae. The record is from RNAcentral.
AUUUUGGCUUACUACAAGUCAGAGCCACUGGCAAGCAAGCGUCAUACACGCAGCCAUUAGCCGACCAGUCAUGCCUAUGGCAAAUGACGAAUGUCUCGGUUCAUUUUAAGUGCACUUGCGUAUUGAUUCUUAUGGCUGCUAUGGGCAAUGCACGUCCAAUCUAAGGCGAGUACUGAAAGAACUGAAAAGCUAACCCUAGAGGAUAACACAGGCGAAAAAAACAACAUCCUCUUCAUGUCAAAGACACUUAUUUUCCUUAGCAUCUAAAACAGAUAACAGGGAUUGCUAUUUUGAUUGUUGUCUUAAGUUGAGGCAAGGAACAGUCUCGUUAACAUGAGUCCUGGUUUCAUAUGAAUGUAUCGUAUAGCUUAACUACAUAGUUCUUUAAACAAGGAGCUAAACUCUGAGUUCAGUGAGCAAGGAAUGAUAAAUAACGAAAAAAUGUGAUCACUCGAAUACUACUACAAAAAUGAGCAGAAAGAUUAGACCGUGCUUGCAUUUCAAACUCAUAAGAAAUUGAAAUUUGCUCCUCACCCCUGAGGUCGGGAUCAUAUCAGCUUCUUUUGUCCAUAAUUGCAUGAGAUCAGAAGAGGCCAGGAAGACCACAAUAGUUCUCAUAAAUGAACUCCAUUAUGAAUAGUCAUAUGCAAAUUUCCCACAUUCCUGUCCAAUAUCCUAAGGACAUGAUUGCAAGCUCCCAAAGCAUGUGGGGAAUGCUUAAUAGAUUCACCUUGGAUCCAGGAAUUUCAGACCAGUUUACAGAAAUUUCAAGCAUGGGGAUACUGAAACGUUUGCAUAGAUAAACGAUCUCAACAUCAAAGCACCAUCUGCACAAUAGUCCAAUUUCUUUAAACAUCAGUGCACAUAAUAAAUUCAAAGCAAAUAAACCAGUGAAUACAGCAUAGGACAACAAAGACGGACGAUACUAUUAUCAGACUUAACCAGCAAACUUGUGUCACUUUUACUUUCAACUAAAAGACUAAUCUAAGUUCGCCAGCAUUUGCCUUUUGGAUUUGUCUAAGUGCAUAUUUAGAAUGCAUUCACAUGAAAAAAAAAUUUGAUCUAAGUCGACUGCUUCCUAUAUGUGUUUAAUUGAUAAACUAGUCGUUUUGCUUGCUCAACACAGAUUAUUUAUUAUUUUAUUUUAAU